RNAcentral lists this long non-coding RNA (239 nucleotides) under Nicotiana benthamiana. RNAcentral describes it as "long non-coding RNA (NBEN_LNC026568)". Lineage: Eukaryota; Viridiplantae; Streptophyta; Magnoliopsida; Solanales; Solanaceae. The record is from RNAcentral.
UUUUUUGUAUCAAGUUAAGAAUUCAAAACAACCCCACAUAAAAAGUUUUCAACUUUCUUCAAUUUAAGCCAAGAAAACGAAGGAUUUAGAGAAAAAAUCAUAAGAAUACGCACACCAACAACUUGACGACAACCAUCAUUGUGUAUAUCAAUUCGGAUUUUUAAGUUGGAAGACCACGUUUGAGAGCACGAGCAGUCGUGGGAUAAUGGAGAUUGUUUUGGCUUUCACGAUUUUGAUUA